GGGUAGUUUGACUGGGGCGGUCUCCUCCCAAAGAGUAACGGAGGAGCACGAAGGUUAGCUAAUCACGGUCGGACAUCGUGAGGUUAGUGCAAAGGCAUAAGCUAGCUUGACUGCGAGAGUGACGGCUCGAGCAGGUACGAAAGUAGGUCUUAGUGAUCCGGUGGUUCUGAAUGGAAGGGCCAUCGCUCAACGGAUAAAAGGUACUCCGGGGAUAACAGGCUGAUACCGCCCAAGAGUUCAUAUCGACGGCGGUGUUUGGCACCUCGAUGUCGGCUCAUCACAUCCUGGGGCUGAAGUAGGUCCCAAGGGUAUGGCUGUUCGCCAUUUAAAGUGGUACGCGAGCUGGGUUUAGAACGUCGUGAGACAGUUCGGUCCCUAUCUGCCGUGGGCGUUGGAAGAUUGAGAGGGGUUGCUCCUAGUACGAGAGGACCGGAGUGAACGCACCACUGGUGUUCGGGUUGUCAUGCCAAUGGCAUUGCCCGGUAGCUAAGUGCGGAAAAGAUAAGCGCUGAAAGCAUCUAAGCGCGAAACUUGCCUCAAGAUGAGUCUUCCCUGGGCCUUUAAGGCCCCUGAAGGAACGUUUAAGACUAAGACGUUGAUAGGCUGGGUGUGUAAGUGCAGCGAUGCAUUGAGCUAACCAGUACUAAUGAUCCGUGAGG
This 659-nucleotide ribosomal RNA is filed under the name Serratia marcescens. RNAcentral's name for it is "partial 23S ribosomal RNA". It matches the Rfam family "Bacterial large subunit ribosomal RNA", at positions 2263 to 2916 of the family's 2925-position model. The record is from RNAcentral. Lineage: Bacteria; Pseudomonadati; Pseudomonadota; Gammaproteobacteria; Enterobacterales; Yersiniaceae.